GACGAACGCUGGCGGCGUGCUUAACACAUGCAAGUGGUGCGACGAACCAGGCUUCGGCCUGGGGCAGAGCCGCGAACGGGUGAGUAACACGUGGGCAACCUGCCCUGUUGAUCGGGACAACCCGGGGAAACCCGGGCUAAUACCGAAUGUGGUGCCGGCUCAUGAGAGCCGUCACGAAAGGAAGCUUCGGCCUCCGCGACAGGAUGGGCCCGCGGCCCAUUAGCUUGUUGGUGGGGUAAUGGCCUACCAAGGCAACGAUGGGUAGCUGGUCUGAGAGGAAGAUCAGGCACACGGGGACUGGGACACGGCUCAGACUCCUACGGGGGGCUGCAGUGGGGAAUCUUGCGCAAUGAGCGACAGCUUGACGCAGCAACGCCGCGUGGGGGAAGAAGGCUUUCGGGGCGUAAACCCCCUUCAGUUAGGAGGAAGCUUUAUUGGUUAAUAACCAAUUGGAGUGACGGGACUUUCAGAAGAAGCCCCGGCUAACUACGUGCCAGCCGCCGCAGUAA
Molecule: ribosomal RNA, 509 nt
Filed under: uncultured bacterium
Lineage: Bacteria
Description: partial 16S ribosomal RNA
Rfam family: Bacterial small subunit ribosomal RNA
Source: RNAcentral